This 497-nucleotide ribosomal RNA is filed under the name uncultured bacterium. RNAcentral's name for it is "partial 16S ribosomal RNA". It matches the Rfam family "Bacterial small subunit ribosomal RNA", at positions 28 to 507 of the family's 1533-position model. The record is from RNAcentral.
GACGAACGCUGGCGACGUGCCUAAUACAUGCAAGUUGAGCGAUGAAGAUUGGUGCUUGCACCAAUUUGAAGAGCAGCGAACGGGUGAGUAACGCGUGGGGAAUCUGCCUUUGAGCGGGGGACAACAUUUGGAAACGAAUGCUAAUACCGCAUAACAACUUUAAACAUAAGUUUUAAGUUUGAAAGAUGCAAUUGCAUCACUCAAAGAUGAUCCCGCGUUGUAUUAGCUAGUUGGUGAGGUAAAGGCUCACCAAGGCGAUGAUACAUAGCCGACCUGAGAGGGUGAUCGGCCACAUUGGGACUGAGACACGGCCCAAACUCCUACGGGAGGCAGCAGUAGGGAAUCUUCGGCAAUGGACGAAAGUCUGACCGAGCAACGCCGCGUGAGUGAAGAAGGUUUUCGGAUCGUAAAACUCUGUUGGUAGAGAAGAACGUUGGUGGGAGUGGAAAGCUCAUCAAGUGACGGUAACUACCCAGAAAGGGACGGCUAACUACGUG